CAGACUUUUUGAUUUUAUGGACGCAGAUUAUAUAGGUUCACCAGGGUGUUUCUCAAAGUUUUAGACAAAGAAUGAAAAAAAAUAGCAGAGUUACAUUGUAGUCUAGGUAGAAAAAAGUCUAAAAAUCUAUCCAGUUCAACUGUGAAAUCCAUUAUUUUAUGCUGAAGGUAUCUUGGAUCAACAACAUGUUUACGUACAUAUUAAUUAAAUCCUUGCAUAUUGUGUUUUUGCAAAAAAAAAUCUAAGCUAUUUUAAAAAAUAUCUAGAGCAUCUGAUAAGACAACAGCUUUAGGCAGAGAAAUCCACAUAUUUAUUGUUCCUACUGUAAAGAACCCUUUCUUCUACUGUAAGUGAAAACACCUUUCUUCCAGUCUCAAUGGGUGAUCUCUUGAUCUUGAUCUCCUGCUAAUAAACAUGUUAGCACAUAGCUGUUUAUAAUGACUUUGCAUAGUGCUCUCCUACCCCUUCUGAGAUGCCAUUUUCUCUCAAGAAACAAAUUCAGUUUUUCUAGCCAUUCUUCAUACCUAAUGUUUUCCAUCCCCCUUAUUUAUUUUGUAGUUCGCCUAUGAACUUUUCUUAGUUCUGCAAUAUCCUUCUUUAGAACUGGU
Non-coding RNA from Pelobates cultripes (western spadefoot toad), 608 nucleotides. The record is from the annotation of a GenBank genome assembly. NCBI's taxonomy places the organism in Eukaryota, Metazoa, Chordata, Amphibia, Anura, Pelobatidae.